GAUAUCAAGUGAUCUUCCCGCCUCGGCCUCCCAGAGUGCUGAGAUUACAGACGUGAACCCAUGCCUGGCCAGGAAUUUUGUUUUUUAGGAAGGCUUUCUACUAAUGGAAUUCCUGGCCUUGAGAGGAUGUUACUUUAGAAGGAAAGGAUUUUUUUGUUAUUAAAAGCUGGACCUACCAUGAAAGACUUCUGAAUCCAGGAAGAGAAACUGACUGGGCAACAUGUUAUUCAGAUGGGGUCUUCUUAUGUUGCCCAGGUUGGUCUCAAAUUCCUAGGCUCAAGUGAUUCUGCCCACCUCUGCCUCCCAAAGUGCUG
This 314-nucleotide long non-coding RNA is filed under the name Homo sapiens (human). RNAcentral's name for it is "long intergenic non-protein coding RNA 1002". Lineage: Eukaryota; Metazoa; Chordata; Mammalia; Primates; Hominidae. The record is from RNAcentral.